RNAcentral lists this non-coding RNA (26 nucleotides) under Homo sapiens (human). The record is from RNAcentral. Lineage: Eukaryota; Metazoa; Chordata; Mammalia; Primates; Hominidae.
UAGUGUGGACUACCUGACAGAUGUUU